UCCUCGAGAAAAACCCUAAUCUUUUGUCAAGGAGAGAAAAAAAGAAAAAAAGAAAAAAAGAAAAACCCCUUAUUUUCACUUCAUUCUUUUCCGACGGCGACUACGACGGCGAGUACCAACGACAGCAAUCUUAAAGAAGGGAAUCAUGGUGCUGACUCAGUACGGCAUCAAAUAUGCCGUCCACAUUAUCACUGCACACUUCGGAAAUCUCGUCACUAAAGUGUGCGAAACCCUGCUCCGAAAGGGACCUCUGACGCAGACUUCUUAUACGAUUCACAGAACUUACCUCAUCACUGGUCAACAACUCCCUUCUUAUUCUCAUCCAACAUAAUUAUGUCCAAGCCUUCACUGCAGUGGCAUAAGUGUAGAAAACUUCUCGAGGGUCUGCUGCAGAAUGGCAGGCUUUCCAUGGAACAAAUGGUUGAAAGAGCCCAGUCAAGUAAACAUGCAGGCAA
Non-coding RNA from Benincasa hispida (wax gourd), 455 nucleotides. Lineage: Eukaryota; Viridiplantae; Streptophyta; Magnoliopsida; Cucurbitales; Cucurbitaceae. The record is from RefSeq and is a predicted model, not a curated record.